AGAAAUAAGGCUCCUGUCUACUAUCAGAGACACUGAUAGUGUAAAACCCAGGGUCUCCAGUAAUGGACGGGAGCCUUAUUUCU
Molecule: microRNA precursor, 83 nt
Filed under: Callithrix jacchus (white-tufted-ear marmoset)
Lineage: Eukaryota; Metazoa; Chordata; Mammalia; Primates; Cebidae
Description: mir-934 microRNA precursor family
Rfam family: mir-934 microRNA precursor family
Source: Rfam by way of RNAcentral